UCGUGCCAAAGGAUUGGGCGGCGGUUGAUUAGGUUGAUGGUGGUGUAAUGGACCACCAUGCCUACAAUCAAUACGGGCCUUGAGAGAGGUAGCCCGGAGAGAACACUGAGAUACUGGUUCCAGCCCUACGGGGUGCAGCAGGCGCGAAACCUCUACAAUGCACGCAAGUGUGAUAAGGGAAUCCUAAGUGCUCAUGCAUUAGUAUGGGCUUUUUUCAAGAGUAAAUAUCUUGGAGAAUAAGUGGUGGGUAAGACUGGUGCCAGCAGCCGCGGUAACACCAGCGCCACGAGUGGCAGCCGCGUUUAUUGGGCCUAAAGCGUCCGUAGCCGGUUAAAUAAAUCUUUUGUGAAAUCGUCAGGCUUAACUUGACGGUGUGCAGAAGACACUAUUUAACUCGAGACCGGGAGGAGUCAGAGGUAUUCCUGAGGGAGCGGUAAAAUGUGAUAAUCUCAGGAGGAUCACCUAUGGCGAAGGCAUCUGACCAGAACGGUUCUGACGGUGAGGGACGAAGGCUGGGGGAGCGAUCCGGAUUAGAUACCCGAGUAGUCCCAGCAGUAAACUCUGUGAGCAAGAUGUUGCAUAUCCUUGAGGAUGUGCAGUGUCGAAACGAAGGUGUUAAGCUCACCUCCUGGGAAGUACGGUCGCAAGAUUGAAACUUUAAGGAAUUGGCGGGGGAGCACACAAGGGGUGCGGCGUGCGUUUAAUCUAACUCAACGCAGAGAACCUUACUAGAAGCGGCGGCAGGAAGAAGGUCUGGCUGAAGACUAUACCUGACGAGCCGAGAGGUAGUGCAUGGCCGUCGUCAGCCCGUGCUGUAAAGUGUCCAGUUAAGUCUGGCAACGAGCGAGACCUAUACCCUCUAUCGCUAACAGCAACAUGUUGGACUGAGCACUUUGAGGGAACUGCCUUGGAAACAAGGAGGAAGGUGUAGGCAACGGUAGGUCUGUAUGCUCCGAAUCUUCUAGGCUACACGCGCGCAACAAUGAUAAUGACAAUGGGUCGCCACUCCGAAAGGAGAAGCUAAUCCUCGAAACAUUAUCUCAGUUCGGAUUGUGGAUUGUAACUCAUCCACAUGACGCCGGAAUCCCUAGUAAUCAGACGUCAUCAUCGUCUGGUGAAUAUGUCCCUGCUCCUUGCACACACCGCCCGUCAAACCAACCGAGCAGGAUUUUGGUAAAAUUUACUUUAUUGAGUAAAUUGAACCUAAGUUCAGUGAGGCGGGUUAAGUCGUCACAAGGUA
Molecule: ribosomal RNA, 1240 nt
Filed under: metagenome
Description: bacterial SSU rRNA
Rfam family: Archaeal small subunit ribosomal RNA
Source: RNAcentral